Long non-coding RNA from Pezoporus flaviventris, 1124 nucleotides. RefSeq lists it as uncharacterized. The transcript has 6 exons. NCBI's taxonomy places the organism in Eukaryota, Metazoa, Chordata, Aves, Psittaciformes, Psittacidae. The record is from RefSeq and is a predicted model, not a curated record.
UCUAUUUCAACUAUUGUUUACUCUUGUUAAUGUUUGUUAGGAUACAUUUCUUGAAUGUUACUGCUCUCAUGCAAGUGGCUCAUUGUACAUUUAGAUGGUAGUGUUAGUAACUCUUCAGUUUUUCUUGCAUGUUUCAUGAAAACUACUGAGUUUCUGAAACUCCUUGCUCCUUCGAAUCAGCUAUGAAACAGAGGUGACUUGUCCCUGAUCACAUGCAAAGCUGAAGGCAGAGCUGGGAAUGGGGCUCAGAUGUCCAGCAUGGACAUCGUUUUAUGGAUGGGCUGUCACAAAAGGCUGUGAGAAAACUACAAGUGCCUCACUUCACCACUUGUCCAGGAUCCCCAGAAUCUGUCUUCCUUCAAAACCCAAGCCCAGUGCACUGUUAGUGAUGAAACUCUGCAACGGAAUGCUUUGAUGAGGCUGUGAUCUUGGAAGGAUACAGAAAGAGAUGGGCUGUUUCAGGCGGAUCACAAGGAAAUCCUGGUUUAUAAAGGUCAGACGAUUGCUGUGUGCCAUGGAGUGACCUCAGCUCAUCUAUAUUUUAACAUCCUUGUUGGCCAUGGUCAGGUGUCUCCUUAGCCUCACUUCAACCCAGAUUGAUUUGAUCUGAGCCCAGGACUUCUGACUGCGGCUGAAAGGCAAAAGGCAAGCCCCUGCUGUUCCUCUAGGCUUCAAGCAGGAUGAAGUGCAGAAGAAGAAAUAUAAUGAUGGCAAGUAGGCUGUGGGAAUGACGCCGCUUAUUGAUACUCCAGGUAUGAAAGAACCCACUAACGAGCAAUUUAUAAAAGACACUUUUGAGCCAUUUUGAAGGAAAUCACUAACUGCUGUGAGCAGGAAAGUGCAGACAGCUUCAUGCAAGGAUGAGCUGCUGCCCAGCAGCUGGCCUUUGCAGUUGUGAGCUAUGCAAGAAACACAAGCAGCUCUUUCCACAUCCACACCCUCCUCUGUGGAUGUCUGGCAGCAGGUAUUUACCCUCUGCAGAAUCCUGCCAGUCACCCACAUCAUGUGGGCAGAGCUAAGGUUGCACAGAGGUCUAAGCUAGCUGGCAUCCCUGUCUUCUACAGCUGGGCAGCAAUGAGGUAUCUUUCUUUGUAUGAGCGGAACAUCUCUAGUAGGCAUGUGGA